This 267-nucleotide ribosomal RNA is filed under the name uncultured bacterium. Its description in RNAcentral is "partial 16S ribosomal RNA". It matches the Rfam family "Bacterial small subunit ribosomal RNA", at positions 87 to 354 of the family's 1533-position model. The record is from RNAcentral.
UUGACUGAGCGGCGGACGGGUGAGUAACGCGUGGGUAACCUGCCUCAUACAGGGGGAUAACAGUUAGAAAUGACUGCUAAUACCGCAUAAGACCACAGGGCCGCAUGGCCCGGUGGUAAAAACUCCGGUGGUAUGAGAUGGACCCGCGUCUGAUUAGCUGGUUGGUGGGGUAACGGCCUACCAAGGCAACGAUCAGUAGCCGACCUGAGAGGGUGACCGGCCACAUUGGGACUGAGACACGGCCCAAACUCCUACGGGAGGCAGCAG